Molecule: long non-coding RNA, 233 nt
Organism: Austrofundulus limnaeus
Lineage: Eukaryota; Metazoa; Chordata; Actinopteri; Cyprinodontiformes; Rivulidae
Exons: 3
Source: RefSeq, a predicted model, not a curated record
UUAUCCACUGAUAGUGAGUAAAUAUUGUGACCAUGUUGCAUUUGGCUAUUAUGCAGAUAUGGGAAAAAUCACGGCCCACAGGUGGGUGGUUUAGAAACUCCACAUCUGACUCUCCAGGUGCGAUGGGAACAAUGACUGUAAGGCUGUGUUGGAAGAGGUUAAUGGUGCUCCUCCCGAGCCAGGACACGCCGCCGUGGAUGCGGGCGAUGGCGACCUGAAUGUUGUUUAAAUCA